AUGGUUAUCUCUUUCUUUAGUACACCCCUUUUUAAUACAAGGGUGGCAAAAAAAAGGUUAAGUAUUGGAGUAGUCAAGAGGUUGGGUUAUACAAGCAAGAGUUCUUGCUGUCCUGGGCUUGGUUUUAGCAUGUACAAAAUGGAGAGCUUAAAAUGCACGGAUAAGAGCUCCAAGUGUCUGCCAAAAAAAGGGAAGAAGAGCUCCAAGUGUUCUGGUCACUUCUUUAGACUGGACAUAUUACAUGCAUUCAGGUGUACAUAUCUUGAAUUUGCUCAUGAAAUUACAUCACAAAUCCUUUAUUGUAAAAGACAAAGAAAAGACUAG
Molecule: ribosomal RNA, 324 nt
Filed under: Triticum aestivum (bread wheat)
Lineage: Eukaryota; Viridiplantae; Streptophyta; Magnoliopsida; Poales; Poaceae
Description: partial small subunit ribosomal RNA
Source: RNAcentral